This 253-nucleotide ribosomal RNA is filed under the name uncultured bacterium. Its description in RNAcentral is "partial 16S ribosomal RNA". It matches the Rfam family "Bacterial small subunit ribosomal RNA", at positions 524 to 776 of the family's 1533-position model. The record is from RNAcentral.
UACGUAGGUGGCAAGCGUUGUCCGGAUUUACUGGGCGUAAAGGAUGCGUAGGCGGAUAGUUAAGUCCGGUGUGAAAGAUCAGGGCUCAACCCUGAGAGUGCAUCGGAAACUGGUUAUCUUGAGGACAGGAGAGGAAAGUGGAAUUCCUAGUGUAGCGGUGAAAUGCGUAGAUAUUAGGAGGAACACCAGUGGCGAAGGCGACUUUCUGGACUGUAACUGACGCUGAGGCGCGAAAGCGUGGGGAGCAAACAGG